This 125-nucleotide small RNA is filed under the name Marmota monax (woodchuck). Lineage: Eukaryota; Metazoa; Chordata; Mammalia; Rodentia; Sciuridae. The record is from RNAcentral.
GCUGGGUGUAGUGGCACAUGCCUGUAAUUCCAGUGACUUGGAGGCUGAGAUAGGAGGAUCUCGAGUUCAAAGCCAGCCUCAGCAACUCAGAGAGGCACUAUCAAUUCAGUGAGACCCUGUCUCUA